GUCAGUUAUUGAAGAACGAGAGGAAUCCAGCACCUUGGUGGGAUCUUGUGAGGCCGAUGUUUUUAUACAAGAACCAUGCUGAGAUAUCUUGGAUCAUAUAAGGAGCAUGAGGCCCUGUUGAGGUUGUGUCCUGACUCAUUCCUAUUGUGGCAACAAAUUCUUGACAGCGGCAUAAAAUGAAACCCAUUGGGUGUGUCUCAAGAAUGAAAUAGAACCUGAUACAGUGCCAUGGCUUUUGCACACCUCAUUAACACUCAUGUUAUCAUAAAACACCUGUGAAUCCAUCUGUUUGUCAGAGAGCAUUGUCACACGACCUGUGUGUUCGUUCACCUGUGAUGUACUACAAAAAAUUGAUAUAUUUAUGAAGAAAUUGUCUAAAAAAUAUAUUUGGAAAAAAGUAUGAUGGUUGGACAUUGUGAGUGGGUGGCCAUAACAUAUUUUUGUGGACAGUGGGGGGCUUUGAAGUAAAAAAAUUGAGAUGCACUGUUCUAGUGUUCAUGUUAAGGGAGCCUUGUUUCAUAAAAUGAAAAAAUCAUAGAAAUGUUAUAUCUACAAUUGUCUACAAAUAUCUACAAAUAAAAAUUGUCACCUUGUACACACAGAGUGCUCUCACUGCACUCCAGGCAGCAGAUCUGAUGAUAUUACAAAUCAGCAAUAUCAGUAACUGAAUGACCCUUUGAGGGACUGGCCAUGUAACCUCUCUGUGGCCCAGGAUGCUGUGAUGAGCUCCAGCCCCCGUGUGACCCUGCAGAGGACAGGCAGGUUCAGAAAAUGGAGGGAUUGCCCAUUAUUUAAAUGUGUCCUUGAACGGAAAAUGAGAAGUACACUUGUGAAAAUAGUUAUAAAUUGAUCUGUUUUUGCUUGACUUGUCAAACAAUAAAAACAAUAGCAGGGUUGCAUUUUUUAUUGAAUAUGGUUAGGUACAGGGAACAAGGCAAAUAUGUUUUUACGCAUACUGUCAGAAAGCAUUUUUAUUCCCAUCCAUCAUUCUGUCACUUAAUUAAAAGGCUGUCAGCAUCAGAAGUGACAUUGCAUCGGACCCGCUGGGGAUGUAUUUUAGUUUGCUGCUCAAGUCUUGAGCAGUCAUAUUCAGAUAUAAAUGACCCAUUUUACUCUGCACAUUUUUGCAUAGCUCACUGAGCUAUUUUUAAUUAAGCCAAGGUAAAGGUUAAUUAAUUGAUUCUUUGAUUUGCUAAAUAUGACUUUUGUUGCCUCAAGGGUUUUAUUCCUCCUAGGAGUUUUCCCACAGGGUUUUUCUUCUAGGGGUUUUUUCAUCCUCGGGAGAGUCAGCCAACAUUGGCUUAACUUACCACUUUACUGUAUACGUUACAAUAUUAGUACGCUCGCUUGUACGGUUUAUUCUUAGCCGCUGUAUUCUUCUUUUUAUAUUAUCUAUAGAUUAUUCUUUGUUUUC
This is a long non-coding RNA of Paramisgurnus dabryanus, 1414 nucleotides long. RefSeq lists it as uncharacterized. The record is from RefSeq and is a predicted model, not a curated record. NCBI's taxonomy places the organism in Eukaryota, Metazoa, Chordata, Actinopteri, Cypriniformes, Cobitidae.